Molecule: ribosomal RNA, 498 nt
Filed under: uncultured bacterium
Lineage: Bacteria
Description: partial 16S ribosomal RNA
Rfam family: Bacterial small subunit ribosomal RNA
Source: RNAcentral
GACGAACGCUGGCGGCGUGCCUAAUACAUGCAAGUCGAACGAGAGCGACCGGUGCUUGCACUGGUCAAUCUAGUGGCGAACGGGUGAGUAACACGUGGGUAACCUGCCCAUCAGAGGGGGAUAACAUCCGGAAACGGAUGCUAAAACCGCAUAGGUCUUCGAGCCGCAUGGCUUGAAGAGGAAAAGAGGCGCAAGCUUCUGCUGAUGGAUGGACCCGCGGUGCAUUAGCUAGUUGGUGAGGUAACGGCUCACCAAGGCCAUGAUGCAUAGCCGACCUGAGAGGGUGAUCGGCAACAUUGGGACUGAGACACGGCCCAAACUCCUACGGGAGGCAGCAGUAGGGAAUCUUCCGCAAUGGACGCAAGUCUGACGGAGCAACGCCGCGUGAGUGAAGAAGGUUUUCGGAUCGUAAAACUCUGUUGUUAGAGAAGAACAAGUGCUAGAGUAACUGUUAGCGCCUUGACGGUAUCUAACCAGAAAGCCACGGCUAACUACGUG